CCUCCUCUGCCUGCUUAUAUUCCUGGUUAUUCUGUUUAUUCUCUGCUGGUUCCUCUGUUCUACACCCCUGGUUGAGUUCUGGUGGUGCUAUGUUUUCCCUCAGAAGACUCUUGUAUGUUUUGGCUUGACUCAUGGUCUGAGUUUUGCUGUUUGUGUUUGCCUGCUAUCUACUCUGCUUGGUCACUAAAUGGUGUUGGAGCUCACAGGUGCAGAGUGGAUAGGUGUUUCACAUUGACUAAUUGCCUGGAGGUGUAUUUAGGAUGGAAGCUGCCAGCACUAUGCCUGAAUAUUAACCACCAUGGUGAAUUCCAGACUCUUCUUAAAGAGUAACCUCUGGCUUCUGGAUAAGAUUCAAGUCUCCAGUUACCUCCUCUGGAAUAAGUUCUAGUUGGCAGCUAUAAGCAAACCCUGUCCACCCUCCAACAAACCUUGCAAGUACCUCCACACCUGAGCUCCACGCCAUCACCCCAGACUUCUCACACAAGCCUGGAUCAGAAAUCCAAGGGAUCUACGUACAAGUGACCAACUCUGGAAGGAUCUAUCUCCCCAGAAAACAACACCCGUGUUGCUCUCUCAGACCUUGCAACUCUCAUCCCUCUGGUGGUUAAUAAAACAUUUAAACUUUC
Molecule: long non-coding RNA, 626 nt
Organism: Girardinichthys multiradiatus
Lineage: Eukaryota; Metazoa; Chordata; Actinopteri; Cyprinodontiformes; Goodeidae
Exons: 3
Source: RefSeq, a predicted model, not a curated record